GGUGAUAAGGCCGAGGCGGUUCCCGCUGGGCUCAUAACCCACAGGUCGCAGGUUCAAAUCCUGUUCCCGCUA
Molecule: transfer RNA, 72 nt
Filed under: Nocardia seriolae
Lineage: Bacteria; Bacillati; Actinomycetota; Actinomycetes; Mycobacteriales; Nocardiaceae
Description: tRNA-OTHER
Source: RNAcentral